GCCCUGGUGAUGCAGUGGUUAUGUGCUUGGCUACUAACCAAAAGGUUGGUGGUUUGAAUCCACUCAGUGGCU
RNAcentral lists this transfer RNA (72 nucleotides) under Loxodonta africana (African savanna elephant). It matches the Rfam family "tRNA". Rfam says of the family: Transfer RNA (tRNA) molecules are approximately 80 nucleotides in length. The record is from Rfam by way of RNAcentral. Lineage: Eukaryota; Metazoa; Chordata; Mammalia; Proboscidea; Elephantidae.